AUACGAAAGGUGCAAGCGUUGUUCGGAUUUACUGGGCGUAAAGGGCGCGUAGGCGGCGAUGUAAGUCAAAUGUGAAAGUCCUCGGCUUAACCGGGGAAGUGCAUCUGAAACUGCAUUGCUUGAGUAUGGGAGAGGAAAGUGGAAUUCCCGGUGUAGAGGUGAAAUUCGUAGAGAUCGGGAGGAAUACCGGUGGCGAAGGCGACUUUCUGGACCAAUACUGACGCUGAGGCGCGAAAGCGUGGGGAGCAAACAGGAUUAGAAACCCUAGUAGUCC
Molecule: ribosomal RNA, 274 nt
Filed under: uncultured bacterium
Lineage: Bacteria
Description: partial 16S ribosomal RNA
Rfam family: Bacterial small subunit ribosomal RNA
Source: RNAcentral